AUUGAACGCUGGCGGCAGGCCUAACACAUGCAAGUCGAGCGGAUGAAGGGAGCUUGCUCCUGGAUUCAGCGGCGGACGGGUGAGUAAUGCCUAGGAAUCUGCCUGGUAGUGGGGGAUAACGUCCGGAAACGGGCGCUAAUACCACAUACGUCCUGAGGGAGAAAGUGGGGGAUCUUCGGACCUCACGCUAUCAGAUGAGCCUAGGUCGGAUUAGCUAGUUGGUGGGGUAAAGGCCUACCAAGGCGACGAUCCGUAACUGGUCUGAGAGGAUGAUCAGUCACACUGGAACUGAGACACGGUCCAGACUCCUACGGGAGGCAGCAGUGGGGAAUAUUGGACAAAGGGCGAAAGCCUGAUCCAGCCAUGCCGCGUGUGUGAAGAAGGUCUUCGGAUUGUAAAGCACUUUAAGUUGGGAGGAAGGGCAGUAAGUUAAUACCUUGCUGUUUUGACGUUACCAACAGAAUAAGCACCGGCUAACUUCGUG
RNAcentral lists this ribosomal RNA (484 nucleotides) under uncultured bacterium. Its description in RNAcentral is "partial 16S ribosomal RNA". It matches the Rfam family "Bacterial small subunit ribosomal RNA", at positions 30 to 507 of the family's 1533-position model. The record is from RNAcentral.